AGACCCGAAACCCGGUGAUCUAGCCAUGGGCAGGUUGAAGGUUGGGUAACACUAACUGGAGGACCGAACCGACUAAUGUUGAAAAAUUAGCGGAUGACCUGUGGCUGGGGGUGAAAGGCCAAUCAAACCGGGAGAUAGCUGGUUCUCCCCGAAAGCUAUUUAGGUAGCGCCUCGUGAAUUCAUCUCCGGGGGUAGAGCACUGUUUCGGCCAGGGGGCCAUCCCGGCUUACCAACCCGAUGCAAACUGCGAAUACCGGAGAAUGUUAUCACGGGAGACACACGGCGGGUGCUAACGUCCGUCGUGAAGAGGGAAACAACCCAGACCGCCAGCUAAGGUCCCAAAGUCAUGGUUAAGUGGGAAACGAUGUGGGAAGGCCCAGACAGCCAGGAUGUUGGCUUAGAAGCAGCCAUCAUUUAAAGAAAGCGUAAUAGCUCACUGGUCGAGUCGGCCUGCGCGGAAGAUGUAACGGGGCUAAACCAU
RNAcentral lists this ribosomal RNA (481 nucleotides) under Salmonella enterica subsp. enterica serovar Oranienburg. Its description in RNAcentral is "partial 23S ribosomal RNA". It matches the Rfam family "Bacterial large subunit ribosomal RNA", at positions 711 to 1190 of the family's 2925-position model. Lineage: Bacteria; Pseudomonadati; Pseudomonadota; Gammaproteobacteria; Enterobacterales; Enterobacteriaceae. The record is from RNAcentral. RNAcentral also lists the same sequence under 20 other names.